Molecule: ribosomal RNA, 253 nt
Filed under: uncultured bacterium
Lineage: Bacteria
Description: partial 16S ribosomal RNA
Rfam family: Bacterial small subunit ribosomal RNA
Source: RNAcentral
UACAGAGGGGGCGAGCGUUGUCCGGAAUCACUGGGCGUAAAGGGCGCGUAGGCGGCUUUAUAAGUCGGGGGUGAAAGCCUGUGGCUCAACCACAGAAUUGCCUUCGAUACUGUAGAGCUUGAGACCGGAAGAGGUAAGUGGAACUGCGAGUGUAGAGGUGAAAUUCGUAGAUAUUCGCAAGAACACCAGUGGCGAAGGCGGCUUACUGGUCCGGUUCUGACGCUGAGGCGCGAAAGCGUGGGGAGCAAACAGG